Molecule: ribosomal RNA, 253 nt
Filed under: uncultured bacterium
Lineage: Bacteria
Description: partial 16S ribosomal RNA
Rfam family: Bacterial small subunit ribosomal RNA
Source: RNAcentral
UACGAAGGGGGCUAGCGUUGUUCGGAAUUACUGGGCGUAAAGCGCGUGUAGGUGGAUUGGUGUGUCAGAUGUGAAAUCCCUGGGCUCAACCCAGGAACUGCACCUGAAACUACCAGUCUUGAGUGGUGGAGAGGGAAGUGGAAUUCCUGGUGUAGAGGUGAAAUUCGUAGAUAUCAGGAGGAACACCAGUGGCGAAGGCGGCUUCCUGGACACCAACUGACGCUGAGACGCGAAAGCGUGGGGAGCAAACAGG